Molecule: ribosomal RNA, 208 nt
Filed under: uncultured bacterium
Lineage: Bacteria
Description: partial 16S ribosomal RNA
Rfam family: Bacterial small subunit ribosomal RNA
Source: RNAcentral
CAGGUAGGUGGUCUGUUAAGUCUUCUGUGAAAAUCCGGGGCUCAACCCCGUGAAAUGCAGGUGAAACUGGCAGACUUGAGACCGGUAGAGGCUAGCGGAAUUCCUGGUGUAGCGGUGGAAUGCGUAGAUAUCAGGAAGAACACCUGUGGCGAAGGCGGCUAGCUGGGCCGGUUCUGACACUAAACUGCGAAAGCGUGGGGAGCAAACA